RNAcentral lists this ribosomal RNA (397 nucleotides) under uncultured bacterium. RNAcentral's name for it is "partial 16S ribosomal RNA". It matches the Rfam family "Bacterial small subunit ribosomal RNA", at positions 523 to 918 of the family's 1533-position model. The record is from RNAcentral.
AUACGUAGGGGGCGAGCGUUGUCCGGAAUGAUUGGGCGUAAAGGGCGCGUAGGCGGCCCGGUAAGUCUGGAGGGAAAGUCCUGUUUUUAAGAUGGGAAUUGCUUUGGAUACUGUCGGGCUUGAGUGCAGGAGAGGUAAGUGGAAUUCCCAGUGUAGCGGUGAAAUGCGUAGAGAUUGGGAGGAACACCAGUGGCGAAGGCGACUUACUGGACUGUAACUGACGCUGAGGCGCGAAAGUGUGGGGAGCAAACAGGAUUAGAUACCCUGGUAGUCCACACUGUAAACGAUGAAUGCUAGGUGUAGGGGGUAUCGACCCCUUCUGUGCCGCAGUCAACACAAUAAGCAUUCCGCCUGGGGAGUACGGCCGCAAGGUUGAAACUCAAAUGAAUUGACGGGG